Molecule: ribosomal RNA, 189 nt
Filed under: uncultured bacterium
Lineage: Bacteria
Description: partial 16S rRNA
Rfam family: Bacterial small subunit ribosomal RNA
Source: RNAcentral
CCUACGGGAGGCAGCAGUGAGGAAUAUUGGUCAAUGGACGAGAGUCUGAACCAGCCAAGUAGCGUGAAGGAUGACUGCCCUAUGGGUUGUAAACUUCUUUUAUAAGGGAAUAAAGUGAGGGACGUGUCCCUUUUUGUAUGUACCUUAUGAAUAAGGAUCGGCUAACUCCGUGCCAGCAGCCGCGGUAAU